This 1430-nucleotide ribosomal RNA is filed under the name uncultured marine diplonemid. RNAcentral's name for it is "bacterial SSU rRNA". It matches the Rfam family "Eukaryotic small subunit ribosomal RNA", at positions 570 to 1574 of the family's 1831-position model. The record is from RNAcentral. Lineage: Eukaryota; Euglenozoa; Diplonemea.
GCACCCGCGGUAAUUCCAGCACCAAUAGCGUAUAUUAAUGCUGCUGCUGUUAAAAAGCUCGUAGUUGGAUCAAUAGUUGGACAGUGCACGGCGGCCUUGCUUGUUAGUCUGGCUCCGGUCAGGCUAGCGGCGGCGGAACAACCCCGUGCGCCAAACUGUCCACGCUAACAGGCCGAAGCGGUUCCCUGUGAGUAGGCUCCUUCAUUGGGGCUGAAAGCGCCUACGCAUCAACCAUAUGCAUACGGGACGUCGGCCAAUGUUACUGUGAACAAACCAGCGUGUCCAAAGCAGGCUCUCGCCUGAAUGUUCGAGCAUGGAAUAACAAGGGAUCGGUUCUCUCGGUUCGUUUGUUGGUUUUUAACCCGAGAAGAAGUACAGGGUGUUUGGAAAUAAAGUUUUCAAUUAUCAACUGUCCACGGGAAAUAGCAAAAAUAAACUUUUUUAUUUUCAAAAAAAUAUGCCUUUCAUUUCCGUUUGGGAAUCGUGAAAAACAACGUGAAUUUAAAGGAUUUCAACGGAAUUUGACUUUUUUGUUUUCAAAAAAGUUUAUUUUUCCAUUUGCAGCCGAAGGCAAAAAUAAACAAAAACUUUAUUUCCAAACGCCCUGUAUUCAGGCCACGGUGUCUGAGUUGAGUUUCCCUGGCUCUCGGGUCAGGCCUCAACUAGGCCGUGUCCUUACGGGAUCAAUAGGGACUGACGGGGUCGUACCUACUUCCGCGUCAUAGGUGAAAUUCUUAGAUCGCGGGAAGACGAACUUCUGCGAAAGCAUUCGACAAGAAUGUCUUCAUUAAUCAAGAACGAGAGUGUGGGGAUCGAAGAUGAUCAGAUACCGUCGUAGUCCACUACUGUAAACAAUGCCGUCUCAGGAUUGAGAAGCGAACGUAAUGACUUUCACAGCACUAACCCCUGAAUCGAGCAAUCAAAGAUUAUGGGUUCAGGGGGGAGUACAUUCGCAAGGCUGAAACUUAAAGGAAUUGACGGAAUGACACCACAAGGCGUGGAGUAUGCGGCUUAAUUUGACUCAACACGGGGGAUUUUACUAGGUCGGGACAAUGUAAGGAUUGACAGAUUGAGAGCUUUUUGUCGAUCCAUUGUGUGGUGGUGCAUGGCCGCUCCUGGUUGGUGGAGUGAUUUGUCUGGUUGAUUCCGUUAACGAACGAGAUCUCGACCCUUAAAUAGGUCUCUCGUCGAUUGUAGUAUUGCCUGCACCAGCUCGCUGGAUGUCAGCGGGACGAGACUUGGAGAAAACUUCUUAAGGGGACUGUGUGCGUAUAUAGCACGCGGAAGAGCGAGCCAAUAGCAGGUCUGUGAUGCUCCUAAAUGUCCUAGGCUGCACGCGCACUACACUGAUGCAAUAAACGAGUCUGAGCGCCUCCCGGCAACCUACCUGGAAGCGGGUGGGGAAUCUUUUGAACUUGCAUCGUGAUGAG